UAAAUGUUAAAGAAGUCUGGUUCCUGAGA
This 29-nucleotide non-coding RNA is filed under the name Rattus norvegicus (Norway rat). Lineage: Eukaryota; Metazoa; Chordata; Mammalia; Rodentia; Muridae. The record is from RNAcentral.